GGAAGAAGAAGGGGGAGAGGGGUGGAGAUGGGGGGUGGGGUCGGGUGGCGAUGUUUCUAUUUUACUUUAUAUAUGUAGGGUUUGGUGUCAGCGCUGCUUGUGCAGGUUCUCUGCUGUUCACUUGUGCACCCACCCACCCCACUCACACAUGGAAACAAAGAUCACCACAGCCAAUCACAAACAACCACCCACACCCUAGGCCAAUUCCUCACCAGUUUUAACCAGUGUUAGAACUUUUGCCCUGAAGCAUCUUCCCAGCACCGGAAGGAAGUUCCACAGGGAAGCCUUUUACAGGACCAGCUGCUUUCCUGGUGAAAAGAAUAUUGUUCCCUGGUGAAAAGACCUGCAGUUUUGAUGUGUGUGUUUUUAGCAAGGAACUGUUCUUUCAAAACAAACACACCUUUUAACAAAAUAAAACAGCUGCUAGAUGGGUCCUGGGUGUUUUGUGCCUCCUUGAGGAACCAUUUCCUCUGCCCUGAGGAGAGAGAGAAUCAACAGAUGGAGAGAGCUUUGCCCAUUCUGUACUUAAAGCAACAUUCAGAAUUGGUUUAGAAAGAGCCUUGAAGCCGGGUGGGGUGAGGUGGGGGGUUGUUGGACUCUCACUCCCAUUAGCCCCAGUUAAGUCCUGGUUUCCUGACCUUGCUGGUAAACAGGGCAGAAGCUUCGCCCAGCUGUGUUGUAUGCUAGCUCCAACAGCUGACUUCAGGAAUGAAGAACACAAAGCCCAGAUCCAGUUCUGGUGCCCAGCCUAGCUCUGACAGGAGAUUUGGGAUGUUGUUGCAAAUGCCGGGCACCCAUUUGUCUGGAAUCACCUGAGAUCUCCCAAGGCCCACAGAACCCACUCCCUGGCAAUUUCUGCCCUCAUUGUUUCCCCGUAUAGCACAACUACUUUAUUCUUCAUUUAUUGGCAGUCUCGCCCCCGGGAGCACAGCAGAUUUUAUGAUGUUUGAGUACUAAUGCAUCUCAACUUUAUCUCCUCCUCGUGGUCUAAAGUCUCUGGCACCACAUAAACCCUCUCAAAUCUCCAUUGGUGAAUGUAUGCCAAUAAAGCCAUUAUGUGGUUUUUCACAGAGGCUAGGGAAACAAAAUUAUUUUUGUCUUUGAAUUAAACCUCGGCUAAACAACUGCACCAAGUUGUAUCAGUGUAUUCUUCCAUCUGAUUUCUCCAACUAUGGAUUCUGGAGUAUGUGACAGACCCCUCCUUUCUUUCCAGCCCUACAAAAUCCACAGCUGUCAACAGGAUGAGGUAUAGUGGCCCAGUCUGAAACCAUCUCUGUAAGUAGGAGCAGACCUAUGUUAACAUAGACCCUGUUGCUCCCAACUCACCAGGCUGGUCCAGCAGGAUAACAUGUUCUAUGAUAGCAAAAGCUAUGGACAGAUUGAGCAAAAGUAAGAUGGUAAUGCAUGAGUCCACAGUGUGAUGCAGCACCAAAAAAAGCGAAUGCUAUUCUAGGCUGCAUCAACAGAUAUAUAGUGUCCAGAUCAAGGGAAGUAACAGUCACACUGUAUUCUGCCUUGGUCAGGCCACACCUGGAAUACUAUGUCCAAUUCUGGGUACCACGGUUUACGAAGGAUGUU
RNAcentral lists this long non-coding RNA (1578 nucleotides) under Podarcis lilfordi (Lilford's wall lizard). Lineage: Eukaryota; Metazoa; Chordata; Lepidosauria; Squamata; Lacertidae. The record is from RNAcentral.